RNAcentral lists this ribosomal RNA (254 nucleotides) under uncultured bacterium. Its description in RNAcentral is "partial 16S ribosomal RNA". It matches the Rfam family "Bacterial small subunit ribosomal RNA", at positions 524 to 776 of the family's 1533-position model. The record is from RNAcentral.
GACGAACCGUGCGAACGUUAUUCGGAAUCACUGGGCUUAAAGCGCGUGUAGGCGGGACGGCACGUCGGUCGCUGAAAGCCCCCGGCUCAACCGGGGAAGUGGCACCGAUACGACCGCCCUGGAGGGACGUAGGGGGACCUGGAACAUCCGGUGGAGCGGUGAAAUGCGUUGAGAUCGGAUGGAACGCCCGUGGCGAAAGCGAGGUCCUGGACGUUUUCUGACGCUGAGACGCGAAAGCCAGGGGAGCGAACGGG